Molecule: ribosomal RNA, 341 nt
Filed under: Vibrio sp. enrichment culture DGGE band 63
Lineage: Bacteria; Pseudomonadati; Pseudomonadota; Gammaproteobacteria; Vibrionales; Vibrionaceae
Description: bacterial SSU rRNA
Rfam family: Bacterial small subunit ribosomal RNA
Source: RNAcentral
AGAAGCACCGGCUAACUUCGUGCCAGCAGCCGCGGUAAUACGGAGGGUGCGAGCGUUAAUCGGAAUUACUGGGCGUAAAGCGCAUGCAGGUGGUUUGUUAAGUCAGAUGUGAAAGCCCGGGGCUCAACCUGGGAACUGCAUUUGAAACUGGCAGACUAGAGUACUGUAGAGGGGGGUAGAAUUUCAGGUGUAGCGGUGAAAUGCGUAGAGAUCUGAAGGAAUACCGGUGGCGAAGGCGGCCCCCUGGACAGAUACUGACACUCAGAUGCGAAAGCGUGGGGAGCAAACAGGAUUAGAUACCCUGGUAGUCCACGCCGUAAACGAUGUCUACUUGGAGGUUG